Molecule: ribosomal RNA, 226 nt
Filed under: uncultured bacterium
Lineage: Bacteria
Description: partial 16S ribosomal RNA
Rfam family: Bacterial small subunit ribosomal RNA
Source: RNAcentral
CCUAGCCCUUUAGACGGGGACAACAUUCCGAAAGGGAUGCUAAUACCGGAUGUGACGCUCCUAUCGCAUGACGGGAGCGUGAAAGAUGGCCUCUACAUGUAAGCUAUCGCUAAAGGAUGGGCCUGCGUCUGAUUAGCUAGUUGGUAGUGUAACGGACAACCAAGGCGAUGAUCAGUAGCCGACCUGAGAGGGUGACCGGCCACAUUGGGACUGAGACACGGCCCAA